RNAcentral lists this ribosomal RNA (255 nucleotides) under uncultured bacterium. RNAcentral describes it as "partial 16S ribosomal RNA". It matches the Rfam family "Bacterial small subunit ribosomal RNA", at positions 524 to 776 of the family's 1533-position model. The record is from RNAcentral.
UACGUAGGCAGCGAGCGUUGUUCGGAGUUACUGGGCGUAAAGGGUGUGUAGGCGGUUAUUUAAGUUUGGUGUGAAAUCUCCCGCUCAACCGGGAGGGUGCGCCGAAUACUGAAUGACUUGGAGUGCGGGAGAGGUGAGUGGAAUUCCUGGUGUAGCGGUGAAAAUGCGUAGAUAUCAGGAGGAACACCGGUGGUGUAGACGGCUCACUGGACCGUAACUGACGCUGAUGCACGAAAGCUAGGGGGAGCAAACAGG